This 247-nucleotide ribosomal RNA is filed under the name uncultured bacterium. Its description in RNAcentral is "partial 16S ribosomal RNA". It matches the Rfam family "Bacterial small subunit ribosomal RNA", at positions 523 to 769 of the family's 1533-position model. The record is from RNAcentral.
AUACGUAGGUGGCGAGCGUUAUCCGGAAUUACUGGGUGUAAAGGGUGAGUAGGCGGGACAGGAAGUCAGGCGUGAAAACUAUGGGCUCAACUCAUAGCUUGCGUUUGAAACUCUUGUUCUUGAGAGUCGGAGAGGUAAAUGGAAUUCCCAGUGUAGCGGUGAAAUGCGUAGAUAUUGGGAGGAACACCAGUGGCGAAGGCGAUUUACUGGACGACAACUGACGCUGAUACACGAAAGCGUGGGGAGC